UUUAUGGAGAGUUUGAUCCUGGCUCAGGAUGAACGCUGGCGGCGUGCCUAAUACAUGCAAGUCGAGCGGACUGACGAGGAGCUUGCUCCUUUGACGUUAGCGGCGGACGGGUGAGUAACACGUGGGUAACCUACCUAUAAGACUGGAAUAACUCCGGGAAACCGGGGCUAAUGCCGGAUAACAUAUCGAACCGCAUGGUUCGA
RNAcentral lists this ribosomal RNA (203 nucleotides) under Staphylococcus chromogenes. RNAcentral describes it as "partial 16S ribosomal RNA". It matches the Rfam family "Bacterial small subunit ribosomal RNA", at positions 1 to 198 of the family's 1533-position model. The record is from RNAcentral. Lineage: Bacteria; Bacillati; Bacillota; Bacilli; Caryophanales; Staphylococcaceae.